GUGCUCGCUUCGGCAGCACGUAUACUAAAAUGGGAACGAUACAGAGAAGAUUAGCAUGGCCCCUGCGCAAAGACGACACCCAAAUACAUGACAAAGUCCCUAAAAAC
This is a small nuclear RNA of Jaculus jaculus (lesser Egyptian jerboa), 107 nucleotides long. NCBI's taxonomy places the organism in Eukaryota, Metazoa, Chordata, Mammalia, Rodentia, Dipodidae. The record is from Ensembl.